CUAAUACAUGCAAGUCGAGCGCGGGAAGCAAGCAGAUCUCCUUCGGGGGUGACGCUUGUGGAACGAGCGGCGGACGGGUGAGUAACACGUGGGCAACCUACCUGUAAGACUGGGAUAACUCCGGGAAACCGGGGCUAAUACCGGAUGAUACAUAUCGUCGCAUGACGAGAUGUUGAAAGGCGGCAUAUGCUGUCACUUACAGAUGGGCCCGCGGCGCAUUAGCUAGUUGGUGAGAUAAAAGCUCACCAAGGCGACGAUGCGUAGCCGACCUGAGAGGGUGAUCGGCCACACUGGGACUGAGACACGGCCCAGACUCCUACGGGAGGCAGCAGUAGGGAAUCUUCCGCAAUGGACGAAAGUCUGACGGAGCAACGCCGCGUGAGUGAUGAAGGUUUUCGGAUCGUAAAACUCUGUUGUUAGGGAAGAACAAGUGCCAUUCGAAUAGGUUGGCACCUUGACGGUACCUAACCAGAAAGCCCCGGCUAACUACGUGCCAGCAGCCGCGGUAAUACGUAGGGGGCAAGCGUUGUCCGGAAUUAUUGGGCGUAAAGCGCGCGCAGGCGGUCCUUUAAGUCUGAUGUGAAAGCCCACGGCUUAACCGUGGAGGGCCAUUGGAAACUGGGGGACUUGAGUACAGAAGAGGAGAGUGGAAUUCCACGUGUAGCGGUGAAAUGCGUAGAGAUGUGGAGGAACACCAGUGGCGAAGGCGAC
Molecule: ribosomal RNA, 711 nt
Filed under: uncultured bacterium
Lineage: Bacteria
Description: bacterial SSU rRNA
Rfam family: Bacterial small subunit ribosomal RNA
Source: RNAcentral